RNAcentral lists this transfer RNA (99 nucleotides) under Caenorhabditis briggsae. RNAcentral describes it as "tRNA-Leu". Lineage: Eukaryota; Metazoa; Nematoda; Chromadorea; Rhabditida; Rhabditidae. The record is from RNAcentral.
UGUUUGAAAUCGUGCAAGAAGAUCGCGGGUCGGUUAGAUCCAAACUUUGGGACAUCAAUCUUCUCGUACGAAUCGUUGGCGUUGAUUUCGACGUUUUGA